Molecule: ribosomal RNA, 273 nt
Filed under: uncultured bacterium
Lineage: Bacteria
Description: partial 16S ribosomal RNA
Rfam family: Bacterial small subunit ribosomal RNA
Source: RNAcentral
UACGGAGGGUGCGAGCGUUAAUCGGAAUAACUGGGCGUAAAGGGCACGCAGGCGGUUAUUUAAGUGAGGUGUGAAAGCCCCGGGCUUAACCUGGGAAUUGCAUUUCAGACUGGGUAACUAGAGUACUUUAGGGAGGGGUAGAAUUCCACGUGUAGCGGUGAAAUGCGUAGAGAUGUGGAGGAAUACCGAAGGCGAAGGCAGCCCCUUGGGAAUGUACUGACGCUCAUGUGCGAAAGCGUGGGGAGCAAACAGGAUUAGAUACCCCGGUAGUCC